This is a small nuclear RNA of Cercocebus atys (sooty mangabey), 107 nucleotides long. Lineage: Eukaryota; Metazoa; Chordata; Mammalia; Primates; Cercopithecidae. The record is from Ensembl.
GUGCUCGCUUUGGCAGCACAUAUACUAAAAUUGGAAUGAUGCAAAGAAGAUUAGCAUGGCCCCUGCACAAGGAUGACAUGCAAAUUCAUGAAGCGUUCCGUAUUUUU